AGUGAACGCUGGCGGCGUGCUUAACACAUGCAAGUCGAACGAGAACGGGUUAUAGCUUGCUAUAAUUGUCAGCUAAGUGGCGCACGGGUGAGUAAUGUAUAGGUAGUAUGCCUCUUACUAAGGGAUAACAAAUGGAAACGUUUGCUAAUACCUUAUACUCCUUAUUAACAGAAGUUAAUAAGGGAAAGAUUUAUUGGUAAGAGAUUAGCCUGUAUUGUAUCAGUUAGUUGGUGGGGUAAUGGCUUACCAAGACUAUGACACAUAACUGGUUUGAGAGGAUACUCAGUCACACUGGAACUGAGACAAGGUCCAGACUCCUACGGGAGGCAGCAGUGGGGAAUAUUGCACAAUGGACGAAAGUCUGAUGCAGCAACGCCGCGUGGAGGAUGACACAUUUCGGUGCGUAAACUCCUUUUAUAUGAUAAGAUAAUGACGGUAUUAUAUGAAUAAGCACCGGCUAACUCCGUGCCAGCCGCCGCCGUAA
This 484-nucleotide ribosomal RNA is filed under the name uncultured bacterium. RNAcentral describes it as "partial 16S ribosomal RNA". It matches the Rfam family "Bacterial small subunit ribosomal RNA", at positions 29 to 523 of the family's 1533-position model. The record is from RNAcentral.